AGGCGGUGACCGUGGCGGUGUAGGUGAAAGUGGUGGUGGAGGAGGAGGAUGAGGUAGCUAACAAUUUUUUUUAUAAAUAUAUAUAUAUAUAUAUAUUUUUUUUUUAAUUGGGGUAGCCCCCAAAAUAUUGGGACAUAUAAAAAAAGAAAAUUCUGUUCCUCAGAGUAGCUGUUGACAUUAUAGUUGCACAGGCACUUUGUUGACUCUAGAGAACCUCGGGCCAAUUGCACAUCCCCGUGACGGCGACUUUGCAUUCGGAUGUCAUCCAUAUCAACUUUCGAUGCCAGUUUCUGUGCCUACCAUGGUGACCAUGGGUAACGGGGAAUCAGGGUUCCAAUCCGUACAGGGACCCUAAGAAACGGAUACCACAUGCAAGGAAGGCAGCAGGCGCGCAAAUGACCCACUCCCGACGCGGGAAGGUAGUGACGGCAAAUAACAAUACAGGACUCUUUAGAGGCCCUGUAAUUGUAAUGAGUCCACUUGAAAUCCUUUAACUCUGAUCAAUUGGAGGGAAGUCUGGUACAAAGCCACUGACCCAUGCGUGCUGCAGCUGAAACUCCACUAUCGCCU
RNAcentral lists this ribosomal RNA (570 nucleotides) under Pelobates cultripes (western spadefoot toad). RNAcentral describes it as "SSU_rRNA_eukarya". It matches the Rfam family "Eukaryotic small subunit ribosomal RNA", at positions 78 to 580 of the family's 1831-position model. Lineage: Eukaryota; Metazoa; Chordata; Amphibia; Anura; Pelobatidae. The record is from RNAcentral.